Molecule: unclassified non-coding RNA, 7247 nt
Filed under: Dendronephthya gigantea
Lineage: Eukaryota; Metazoa; Cnidaria; Anthozoa; Malacalcyonacea; Nephtheidae
Description: uncharacterized LOC114535002, transcript variant X1
Source: RNAcentral
UAUUCUAUUGAGUGGCAUAGUACAGAGCUGUGACGUCAUGUUAAAUGAACCUGUAACCAAUAUAGAAAAAAAUAUAACACGAUUACGAGGCUCAGGGGCUAAAACCCGACAAUAAUCAAACACUAAAGAGCAAAUAAGACAGAUUAGUUGUUCUGAGAGUGAGACUAUUUUAACAGACUCGAUCCCUGAGCGCCUAAUAGUACUGCAUUGACUUACGAAAAUAUAAUAAUCCAGCUUAACUGAUUACAUGCUGAGGAGGCACAGCCACUAGUCUGAUAAGAGAAAUGUUUUAUGAAGUGUUAUUUGUAAAAAUAAAUGACAUCGAGAGUUUGCUGAAACAGCUUUUCAAAAUUAUCGCACGAACUAAAUGGAAUUGAUAAAAAACUUCAACGACAGUUUACAAUCGGAAAUGAAAAAAAUCGAGUGGCAAUAGAUCUUAAAUACACGAGAUAUUUUCAUAAAUUAUUUGGCAUCAAAAUACAUUCAGAUCAUACCAUGUCUAUAAAUGAGAACAUGCUUUCAAAAUUUAUAAUGUCAAAAAAAACCCAUUUCCACACACAAAUAAGACAGACGGAAUGUUUAUAGAAAUUCUAAAAUUAAGUUCAUGUGAGUUUGUCAUAUUGGUGGUAGCGAGUCAGAAACGGUACUCCUAAAACAUACAGUAUGUCUCUUCGCAAAAUCAUUUUCACAAGAAAUCCCUUCGUUAAACAAGAUCCUAGCGACUUUCUUUUAUGAAAAUCUACUCCAUCCCAUUCUUUUUCUCGGUGUAACCUAUAUAAUUGGUACAACCAUUUUGUUACAGUAAUUAACCGUGUCUAAGGUUUGUAUUUUUGUAAACCAUUUUAUGCUUUCACUUUGUUGUUGAAAUUUCUUAUUUCGGUGUUUGCUAACAUCCCCUAAGUUGUCUCAACAUCCCCUAAGUUGUCUUUAAGACUGCAACAGUGGCUCCGAUAGAUUUGAAUUUUCCUAUUUGAGUCAUUGCUCCCAUGGAGGAAUUUCAGCAGUUUCAAAACAAUUGGAAAAUUGUGGUUCGCUUCCAAUCACUUUUUUAUUACCUGGCUUCUUAAGCCUGUCUUCCACUUAAGCUGCGUCACACGGUACCGGAUCCACUCAUCUUCGUUUGCCGUUAUGAAGCAACGAUUAUUAGUAAAUGAUUAUCAAUUCAUAGAUUUCGUAUAUUUAUUCAGGACACCGCUGUCUUUCAUUAAUUAACUUCAAAAUUCGACAUUGGCCGACAGUAAUCCGAUACCUUGUCAACGGGGCUUUAAGUGUUUUUCAUACGCAGGUACACCGUACACCAACGGAAGAAUGCUUUAACAUUUUUAUUAUAUACCAAAAUUGCGAAAAAACUAAUUCUUUCGAUUUAUUUACUUUUUCAAAGGUAACAUAUAUAAUGAUUUAGACUUCCGUGUGUGUACGUGCGUAUGAAAAACGCGUGCGUGGAAAACAGCCUCAAUAGAAUAGAAAAAAAGGUAAAUUAUCAGAAAUUUGUUAGAUUUGGACUUUACUUGUUAGAUUUGGAAUUACUCCCCAAAUCCUCGAUCUUAACUGAGUUUCACUUUUCUAUGCCCAGUGCUUUUAAAGGCGGUAUUAUUUGAGCGGUUAUUGAUAUUAUCAAUUUUGUCAAAAAUAUAUUAUUUAGAUAUAUCGUUCCAGUUUUCUAACUUUAGUUUGCAGAGCCAUAUAGCUCAGUGGCCACACCCGAAACCUCACCCAGUUCCUGUUUCUUUGAGUCUUUGUAUUUCUUCAAAGUCUGUGUUCGUUGUUUGUCAAAAUGAUCGUAUUCUUUGACUAGAAGCUCCCAAAGUAAUCCUGGGAAGUGUCGAUUUAGUGUUUGAACAAAUCUAAAGUUGUUUUAACAAGCUUUAUCCAGGCAGACAAGCCCAAAGACAAAGGCAUACGGCUUCGGACCAGUCGUGGUAUAAAUAUACACUACAUAGACAAGACCAGAUUGCCGAAGGUAUUAAAUCAAGGUCUUAAAUCUACAUUUCAGUCCAUCUGUCCGUUAUCCUUUCCGAGAUUUGACCAUGUAGUGGAAUCAUCGCUUUGAAGAUUUGAUAAGUAAUAAACCCUGUCUAAUGCCAUGGCUUCUGACGAACUGCAAGAAAAAGCAAAUUUUACAAGACUCAGUAGACUUUUAGUUGACAAAGGAACUGAGGCUUUGAGAAAUACAUUUGAUACCAGCCAUCCACCUGUUAGUCUACCUGGAGUACUGGCUGCAAACAAAAGAUCUCUUCAAAAGUUAAAACCUCGAGUUAUUACUAAUUCCCAGUGGGAUUUACUGUUUCCUCCGUCUGGCAACCCGCCAGAUUCCAAAAACUUUGAUGUCACGUUACUUACAGUUCUAUUCCGGAACAUUUGUGGUUUUCCAUCAACAGGAUGGAGUGUAAUGCCUCCGGAUACUGAUAGGUCAACGCAAGCGAAUAUCACAAGAAUCAAGUGUUACAGAAAUGAAGUUAUUGCACAUGUAACAACAACCAGAGUUGACAAUUCAACAUUUCAAUCUUUAUGGAAGAAAAUCUCCCAGACAUUGGUAGAAUUGGGCGUUUUACAUAGUGAUGUCGACGAUUUAAAAAAAUGUCCUCUUGGGCCUAAAGAAGUAGUGUAUGUGCAAAAGCUUAAAGAUUGGAAACUGCACGAAGAUGAGUGUAUUAAAUUGCUUAAAGUAAUUGAAGCUGGUGUAAAUAAUAUAACACAAGUCGCUGAAGAGACGCGCGAGGCAGUAAAUGAAACGCACGAUGCAGUAAAUGAAACGCACUAUGCAGUAAAUGAAACGCACUAUGCUGUAAAUGAAACGCACGAUGCAUUAAAUGAAGCGCGCGAUGUAGUAAAUGAAACGCGCGAUGCAGUAAAUGAAACGCGCGAUGCAGUAAAUGAAACGCGCGAUGCAGUAAAUGAAAUGCGACAGUCAUUGGCCAAGCGUACGCUAUCAAUACCUGUCAACACCAUUCCUGAAAAAAAUUCCCGCUUGGAAAGUGAUGAAGAUUUAUUGCGAAAACUUGCUAAGCAUAAUUUUAAGGGUAAAAUUAAACGAAAAGUAAAUUUUUUCCUUCCUGGAACAAGAGAGUGGUUGUUAGAGAAAGUUAACGAGUGGUUUCAAAAGUGUGACAGCGAUUCGAGAAUAAAGUUAAUAACAGCUGGACCAGGAUUUGGUAAAAGCGUGUUUGCCGCUAAAAUCUGUGAAGAUUUUGAGAAGAAUGGAAAGCUGGCUGCUUGUCAUUUUUGUGAUUUCAGUGAUUCAAACCUAAGAGAUCCUAUGGUAAUGUUGGAGUCUCUCGCAAGUCAGAUGUGUAAGAAUGUCCCUGGUUUUAAAGAGGAGCUCCUUGAUCAGUUAGGACGACGUCAUCAAAUCAAAAACCUCAAAGAUGCCUUUCAAAUAUAUUUGCAAAAUCCUCUAGAUGAAUUGGAAAUAAAAGAGCCACGUUUAGUCGUGAUCGAUGGCUUAGAUGAAAGUGCUGCUGAUAAUAAGAAUGAAAUUACUCAUUUGAUUGCUGAAUAUUUCCCUGAUCUUCCCGAGUACAUCAAAAUCUUGGUGACGAGCAGACCAGAGAUUUCCGUUGCUGAUCUAAGACUAAGAGACCAUCAAAAGACGAACAUUGCGAAUGUUAACGCUAACAAUAACACAGAUCUUGAACUUUAUUUUAAAGAAUGUCUUCCAAGUUUAGUUGGCAGGGAAGUAAAUCAAAGUGAAGUGAGCCAAGAUUUGUAUGAGUAUCCAUAUCUUCGCCGGUUAAGAUGGGAUAAAUCUAUUAGUUUACUUUCCAUUUUUGUUGCCAAAUGUCAAGGCUCAUUUCUCUAUGCAUAUCACUUUCAAUCUGGGCUAAGGGCUCGCUAUGAUCUUAAAAAGAUAACAAAUAAUGACGUCAUGGAGUUUCUCCCAGAAGGACUGAAUUGUGUUUACGAACGAUAUUUUAAACGCCUGGAAGACGAGCUUAGCGACUUAAAACAUGAAAAGUUUGAUGUGUUGAAAAUUUUGGAAAUGCUGGCAGCUUCCGAAGGACCUCUUCCUCUCACUUUCAUCGCUCAGGCUUUUGGUUUAGCUCCAGAUUGUCGCGAAACGAAAGACAUCAUCAACAAAAUUAAUGAAACCGUAUCGUGCUUGUUGUACGUUUCAGAUGACAUGUUAACCGUUUUUCACAAAUCCGUUAUUGAUUGGCUUCUUGCAAAAGGCUACAAAGAUCACCAGUAUACUGUCAAGGUCGAUGAUGGACAUAGAUCGCUUUGGCUUUUAUGCGAAAAGGGUUUUGAGGAAAUUGUGGAAGGUGUUCGCUCAGGACUUGAGUUGAAGUAUACUAAUGACGUGGAAUACGCUCUGAAACAUGGUUUAAAACAUCUAGAAAAGUGUGAAAUGGAAGAGGGUGGUUUCUGGUCAGUUGAUGUUAUUAUCGUUUGUUAUAUGUUCAAUGUGAUAAUCAGUUUAUAUGAUUUCCUGCGUUUCUGGCACAAAUUACUGCAAUGUUCUGGGUUAAAAAACGAAGAUUUACGCGCCCGCAUUUCGUACCAUGUCAUUGAAUUUGAGUCUUUUGUGCAUCGCGUGGAACAUUACGAGAGCUUACAAAAAAAUUAUUCGACACUACUCCCACAAUGGUAUUUACAAGCGGUUCUUACCCGUUCUCCAGAAGGUUAUUUCAGCGAUGAUGAGAAAAAAAUCGCGGAGACGCUACUAUCAAACCUUUCACCUUUUGUCGAGUCGAAUUCUUACGAAGUUUCGGUUUUGCCGCGAGCAGUCUGGAAACACAGUGACUUUGGUUUUAUUACAGCUGUUGCUUUAUCUAACGAUGAGAAAAGUGUAGCAGUUGGAAUAAGUAAUUUUAUCCAUGUGAUAUCCGUACCAACUUUAGUUGAAAUUAUGAAUUGUUCAACAAAAUCGGAAAAAAUUCCAUGCUGCACAUUUUCUCCAGACGAUUCGCUCAUAUUAUUUGGUAAACUAAAAACGGCGUUUAGCAUUGCUGGAAGAAAGGAAGUUCCAUAUUUCCCUGGAAAUGAAGAGACGUUCCUGUCCUGUGCAUUUUCCCCUAACGGCAAAAGACUGGUGACUAAGGACGGUUUAAACACAAUUAAACUAUGGGACGUUCCUAAACAAAAAAUGCUGUCGUCGCUUUGUGCUGGAUUUCUUGUUGAUUGGUGUUAUUUUAGCGUCACAGGGUUAUUUAUUAUUGCAAAUUCAGAAUCUUCAUCUUAUCCGGGUUAUUCGUUGUGUGUUUGGAACGCCAUCACAUUGCAAAGAAGUGAUAAGCGAAAAUUAUCUCACGUGGAAAGGGAGAAGCCAGAUGUGUUAAAGAGUAGAAAAUGUGAACGAUGUUUUCAGCGGGGAUUUGAGGAACCAAAUUACAAACAGUUAGAAGUAAGGUUAUAUGACAAAUAUAAAAUGAGGUUAUGUGAUGAAACACAUGAAAGAAAAUGUAUAAUGUCGUGUCCGUGGAUCUGCAAAGGUGUGGAGUGUAUUUUUUCGAUUUCUAUGGAAGAAUUAUGUUAUUCGAGUGUCACAGAAAUAAUUCCUUUGACGGCGAUUGUUGCUUGGAACUAUUUUUUGGCCUAUUCUUACUAUGAUCCCUUUUUUCGAGUCAAAAUAACAGCUUUAGAAGAUAAUCUGUGGCUCUAUUCGGAUAAUGGAAAACUAAUUGUCUUUAAGACAUUAGCUCCUAAACAAGAGCAAUCCUGUCUGUCAUAUGCAACGUUUGUUUAUUCGAGUUCGUUUUCUCCUGACGGUUCUCGACUUGCAUCCUGCAACUCAGAUGGAUAUAUCAAUAUAUGGAAUGUCUAUACCAGCCAAGUUGAACAACGUUUCAAAAGCAGCCAAUGCAGGUCAAUAUUUUUAUGCUGGUGGUCAGAAGAUUUCUUGUUUGUUAUUAGUCAAUUUAUUGACGGAAUUCCCAAAUUAACGCGAUACCCGGUAGAUGACAAUCAAGAGAUCUUGUUUACUGAUAGUCAGGACGUGUCGCUAAAAGACUUGUCUGAAUUCAGGCCAGAGAGCUGGUCUGAUUUCCUAGAUUUAAAGGUUGGUUUUUCUGAAGGCUUUGUCAGCUUGGCUUUCGGAGGCUUCGAACACGUGAAAGUUCUCGAUGUCAGAGAUGUUGAUGCUCCUGUAAUGAUCAAUUUGCCUGGAAUUAGGCCUGAGAUGGAAGUGGAAAUCUCGCCUGGUGGUGCCUUUAUCUCUGCUUGUAAUGAGCAUGAAUGUUAUAUUUGGAAAAGAAAUACCAAAAACCCAACUUCAUAUGAAGUCUUUUGUCACGGUAAUGCUGGAGGGCCUGACAGAUUGCCUUAUGUCGUAAUUUUCAGUAAUGAUUCCAAAGUCGCAAUAGUCAUGCACAGGUGUUUUAAUGAGAGUCAGAUAAUUGAUGUGGACACUGGUGAUUAUCAAUAUAUAACUCCUGCAUUCAACCCCAUUUCUUAUUUGAGGUCAUUUUGUAUUCACAAGAGUAGAAUUGUAUUGACUUUAUCUGAAUACCUGAUAAUAUUUUUUGACAUGGACUCUGGCGCGGUUCUCAGCACUUCCUAUCAACGUUACUUGAACACAUUUAGGCCAAGCCAAACAAUUCAACUUUCCAAAAAAGAGGACGUGCUGGCUUUUCCUGACUACAAAGGUGAUAUGGUGUUUCUUCGACUGUCUAUUCCACAAAAUUCUUUGUUGGAUGAUAUUAAGCUUAAGCAACGGGCAGUUGCUUCGUGAUAUGAUAUUAAGCGAGGUGCAGUAGUCAAUCCUUUCUUUAACCGGAAUAAAGUCGUCUUGCAGAAAAAGGUUUUGACUCCUUUUAGGAAAAUCUACACAAAGUAUUUUCUUACAUGUUGGGUUUUCCAGCAAGUUGUUUACCUUAAAGAUAACUGAAGUGAACUCGUUCACACGAGGACGAAAAACAAGAGCAGAAGACUGUUAUGAACGACAGAUGUUUUGGAGUUGAUUUUUCAGUUAGGAUAUUUUAUAAUGGAUUUAGUGAACAAUAACAUGAGAGACUAUCAUCAAGAACAUUGUUUUGGGGAAGCGGCUAGACUUUGCUUGGAGCUGGUCUAGAAUGGAGAAGUAAGACACUUCCUUCCCUCCGUUUGUCUGGGAGUUCACCUUGGGCAAGUGAUAGCACUCCCUUGCCUCCCUAACUGGGGUUACAGUUUGUUAAACAAAACAAAGAUGAUAUCUUGAAUACAUCUGCAAGAAACAAGUCCUAAAAAACUGUGACCAAUGCCAGUCGUAUGAUGGUGUUGUUUAAGAUGUUCAUUAUGAUAGUUACAGACUUACAGUCAUGUUGGUGGUG